Molecule: ribosomal RNA, 263 nt
Filed under: uncultured Streptococcus sp.
Lineage: Bacteria; Bacillati; Bacillota; Bacilli; Lactobacillales; Streptococcaceae
Description: partial 16S ribosomal RNA
Rfam family: Bacterial small subunit ribosomal RNA
Source: RNAcentral
CAUUCAGUUGGGCGACUCUAGCGAGACUGCCGGUAAGUAAACCGGAGGAAGGUGGGGAGUGACGUCAAAUCAUCAUGCCCCUUACUGACCUGGGCUACACACGUGCUACAAUGGUUGGUACAACGAGUUGCGAGUCGGUGACGGCGAGCUAAUCUCUUAAAGCCAAUCUCAGUUCGGAUUGUAGGCUGCAACUCGCCUACAUGAAGUCGGAAUCGCUAGUAAUCGCGGAUCAGCACGCCGCGGUGAAUACGUUCCCGGGCCUU